This 468-nucleotide ribosomal RNA is filed under the name uncultured bacterium. Its description in RNAcentral is "partial 16S ribosomal RNA". It matches the Rfam family "Bacterial small subunit ribosomal RNA", at positions 28 to 507 of the family's 1533-position model. The record is from RNAcentral.
GACGAACGCUGGCGGCGUGCUUAACACAUGCAAGUCGAACGGAAAGGCCCUGCUUUUGUGGGGUGCUCGAGUGGCGAACGGGUGAGUAACACGUGAGUAACCUGCCCUUGACUUUGGGAUAACUUCAGGAAACUGGGGCUAAUACCGGAUAGGAGCUCCUGCUGCAUGGUGGGGGUUGGAAAGUUUCGGCGGUUGGGGAUGGACUCGCGGCUUAUCGGCUUGUUGGUGGGGUAGUGGCUUACCAAGGCUUUGACGGGUAGCCGGCCUGAGAGGGUGACCGGCCACAUUGGGACUGAGAUACGGCCCAGACUCCUACGGGAGGCAGCAGUGGGGAAUAUUGCACAAUGGGCGGAAGCCUGAUGCAGCAACGCCGCGUGCGGGAUGACGGCCUUCGGGUUGUAAACCGCUUUCGCCUGUGAUGAAGCGUGAGUGACGGUAAUGGGUAAAGAAGCACCGGCUAACUACGUG